GAUGAACGCUGGCGGCGUGCCUAAUACAUGCAAGUCGAGCGAACGGACGAUAAGCUUGCUUCUCUGCUGUUAGCGACGGACGGGUGAGUAACACGUAGAUAACCUACCUAUAUGACUUGGGUAACUUCGUGAAACCGGAGCCAAUACCGGAUGAUAUUUUGAACGGCAUGGUUCAAAAGAGCAAGACGGUCUUGCUGUCACUUAUAGAUGGAUCCGCGCUGCAUUAGCUAGUUGGUAAGGUAACGGCUUACCAAGGCAACGAUGCAUAGCCGACCUGAGAGGGUGAUCGGCCACACUGGAACUGAGACACGGUCCAGACUCCUACGGGAGGCAGCAGUAGGGAAUCUUCCGCAAUGGGCGAAAGCCUGACGGAGCAACGCCGCGUGAGUGAUGAAGGUCUUCGGAUCGUAAAACUCUGUUAUUAGGGAAGAACAUAUGUGUGAGUAACUGUGCACGUCUUGACGGUACCUAAUGAGAAAGCCACGGCUAACUACGUG
This 497-nucleotide ribosomal RNA is filed under the name uncultured bacterium. Its description in RNAcentral is "partial 16S ribosomal RNA". It matches the Rfam family "Bacterial small subunit ribosomal RNA", at positions 28 to 507 of the family's 1533-position model. The record is from RNAcentral.